This 145-nucleotide ribosomal RNA is filed under the name Bacillus subtilis. RNAcentral's name for it is "partial 16S ribosomal RNA". It matches the Rfam family "Bacterial small subunit ribosomal RNA", at positions 351 to 491 of the family's 1533-position model. Lineage: Bacteria; Bacillati; Bacillota; Bacilli; Caryophanales; Bacillaceae. The record is from RNAcentral.
GGUGUAGGGAUCUUCCGCAGUGGACGAAGUCUGACGGAGCAACGCCGCGUGAGUGAUGAAGGUUUUCGGAUCGUAAGCUCUGUUGUUAGGGAAGAACAAGUGCCGUUCAAAUAGGGCGGCACCUUGACGGUACCUAACCAAAAGC